This is a small nuclear RNA of Myotis daubentonii (Daubenton's bat), 107 nucleotides long. NCBI's taxonomy places the organism in Eukaryota, Metazoa, Chordata, Mammalia, Chiroptera, Vespertilionidae. The record is from RefSeq and is a predicted model, not a curated record.
GUGCUCCCUUCGGCAGCACAUGAACUAACAUUGCAUUGAUAUACAGAAGAUUAGCAUGGCAUGUGCACAUGGAUGACACGCAAAUUCAGGAAAAGUUGCAUAUUUUU